AGGCCUACCAUGCAGUCGACGCUGGAUCUCUCAGAGUGGGAGACGGGUGAGUAACGUCCGGGAACCUUCCCAGUGCUACGGAAUAGCUCAGGGAAACUUGAGGUAAUACCGUAUAAGCCCCUAGGGGGAAAGAUUUAUCGCCAUUGGAUGGCCCCGCGUCGGAUUAGCUAGUUGGUGAGGUAAUGGCUCACCAAGGCGACGAUCCGUAGCUGGGUUGAGAGAAUGACCAGCCACACUGGGAC
Molecule: ribosomal RNA, 242 nt
Filed under: uncultured Hyphomicrobiaceae bacterium
Lineage: Bacteria; Pseudomonadati; Pseudomonadota; Alphaproteobacteria; Hyphomicrobiales; Hyphomicrobiaceae
Description: partial 16S ribosomal RNA
Rfam family: Bacterial small subunit ribosomal RNA
Source: RNAcentral